ACGAGAAUAUUCGACAAUGGGCGAAAGCCUGAUCGAGCGACGCCGCGUGGAGGAUGAAGUGCUUCGGCAUGUAAACUCCUUUUGCCAGGGAAAAAGUUUAUUGAUUGUACCUGGAGAAUAAGAGGUUGCUAAACUCGUGCCAGCAGCAGCGGUAAUACGAGUGCCUCGAGCGUUAUCCGGAAUCAUUGGGCGUAAAGGGUGCGUAGGCGGCGAUGUUAGUCUCCUGUAAAAUUCCUCGGCUCAACCGGGGGCGCGCGGGAGAUACGGCAUUGCUAGAGGAUGGUAGGGGUCUCUGGAACUCAUGGUGUAGCGGUGAAAUGCGUUGAUAUCAUGGGGAACACCGAAAGCGAAGGCAAGAGACUGGACCACUCCUGACGCUGAAGCACGAAAGCGUGGGUCGCGAAUGGGAUUAGAUACCCCCGUAGUCC
This 428-nucleotide ribosomal RNA is filed under the name uncultured bacterium. RNAcentral's name for it is "bacterial SSU rRNA". It matches the Rfam family "Bacterial small subunit ribosomal RNA", at positions 355 to 796 of the family's 1533-position model. The record is from RNAcentral.